Molecule: ribosomal RNA, 282 nt
Filed under: Proteus mirabilis
Lineage: Bacteria; Pseudomonadati; Pseudomonadota; Gammaproteobacteria; Enterobacterales; Morganellaceae
Description: partial 23S ribosomal RNA
Rfam family: Bacterial large subunit ribosomal RNA
Source: RNAcentral
UUAAGCGAAUAAGCGUACACGGUGGAUGCCUAGGCAAUCAGAGGCGAUGAAGGACGUGCUAAUCUGCGAAAAGCGUCGGUAAGGUGAUAUGAACCGUUAUACCCGACGAUAUCCGAAUGGGGAAACCCAGUAUCCAAUGGAUACUAUCAUUAACUGAAUCCAUAGGUUAAUGAGGCGAACCGGGAGAACUGAAACAUCUCAGUACCCCGAGGAAAAGAAAUCAACCGAGAUUCCCCUAGUAGCGGCGAGCGAACGGGGAGCAGCCCAGAGUCUUAAUCAAUA